GGAAGCUACCGGAGUAUAGAACUCGCCACCGUCGCAGAAGCGGAAGCUACCGGAGUAUAGAAAUCACCACCGUCGCAGGACCGGAACUUCAUACGCAACCGGAUGAAACCCCUAAAACCGAAUCAAUUUUCCCGCCGUCAGCUUCCCAUCAUGUUCGAAUUCUUGAAAAUUCUGGUAACUCGAUGGUACUGUAAGAUUUUCUUAUCCUUGUUUAAAAUAAUCAAAGAAAUCAUUCUUUAUUUUAAGAAAUUCAUUAAAUCUUUUCUUUCUUAAAAAAUCAAGAAUUUGUUUUCACUUCUUUAAGGAGAGAGGG
RNAcentral lists this unclassified non-coding RNA (313 nucleotides) under Hevea brasiliensis (rubber tree). The record is from RNAcentral. Lineage: Eukaryota; Viridiplantae; Streptophyta; Magnoliopsida; Malpighiales; Euphorbiaceae.